Molecule: ribosomal RNA, 292 nt
Filed under: uncultured bacterium
Lineage: Bacteria
Description: partial 16S ribosomal RNA
Rfam family: Bacterial small subunit ribosomal RNA
Source: RNAcentral
GUGUCAGCAGCCGCGGUAAUACGGAGGAUCCAAGCGUUAUCCGGAAUCAUUGGGUUUAAAGGGUCCGUAGGCGGCCUUAUAAGUCAGUGGUGAAAUCUCCUAGCUCAACUAGGAAACUGCCAUUGAUACUGUAGGGCUUGAAUUAUUAUGAAGUAACUAGAAUAUGUAGUGUAGCGGUGAAAUGCUUAGAUAUUACAUGGAAUACCAAUUGCGAAGGCAGGUUACUAAUAAUUGAUUGACGCUGAUGGACGAAAGCGUGGGUAGCGAACAGGAUUAGAUACCCUUGUAGUCC